UGGGGAAUAUUGCACAAUGGAGGGAACUCUGAUGCAGCGACGCCGCGUGAAUGAAGAAGGCUUUCGAGUCGUAAAGUUCUUUUAUAUGGGAAGAUAAUGACGGUACCAUAAGAAAAAGCCCCGGCUAACUACGUGCCAGCAGCCGCGGUAAUACGUAGGGGGCUAGCGUUGUCCGGAAUCACUGGGCGUAAAGGGUUCGCAGGCGGAAAUGCAAGUCAGGUGUAAAAGGCAGUAGCUUAACUACUGUAAGCAUUUGAAACUGCAUAUCUUGAGAAGAGUAGAGGUAAGUGGAAUUUUUAGUGUAGCGGUGAAAUGCGUAGAUAUUAAAAAGAAUACCGGUGGCGAAGGCGGCUUACUGGGCUCAUUCUGACGCUGAGGAACGAAAGCGUGGGUAGCAAACAGG
Molecule: ribosomal RNA, 403 nt
Filed under: bacterium
Lineage: Bacteria
Description: partial 16S ribosomal RNA
Rfam family: Bacterial small subunit ribosomal RNA
Source: RNAcentral